Molecule: non-coding RNA, 589 nt
Filed under: Pan troglodytes (chimpanzee)
Lineage: Eukaryota; Metazoa; Chordata; Mammalia; Primates; Hominidae
Source: RNAcentral
GCAGCACUGAGAAGUGAAGGAAUAUUUGGGAGGAUCAGAAGCUUGGUCCUGAUUUUGCCAUCAACAGGAACUUGAUGACUUCAAGGGAGUCCCCAAACCCUGGGUUUCUGUUUUCUCAACUCUAACAUGAGGGGCUAGAUGCAUCUGGUUUAGUUAGUCUCCAUGAUGGUUUAGUUCGUCUCCAUGAUCCUGUGAAUUUCAGAUGUUGAAAAUCUUUGGAAAAGCCCUGAAAGAUGAACAGUCUUCACCAACCUCCUCCCUCCAGAAUAUUCCUCCAGAAUAUAAAAUGCCUCAUCAACAUGAGACAACAGCAGGAAGCACCCAUUUGUAGUAAUCCUCUGUAUGGAGGAGGCUGUUACAUAACCACAAAGGCACAAAGCUGCAGUUUUGAGAACAUCUUCCCACGCCAGUUCUAAACAUUGACCUCAACUAUGGUUGCUAACACAAGAAUCGGCACUGGUGAGUUUUGAGCCAUCAUUCAUCCUUUCCUAACAUACGAUUCUUUUGGAAAAUGGUCUCAAAUAGUCAAGACCCCCUGCUGGGAGGAGCUAUCCUGCUCUUUGGAAGAAAUGGGCAUGCCAGAUGCCUG